This 301-nucleotide ribosomal RNA is filed under the name uncultured bacterium. RNAcentral describes it as "partial 16S ribosomal RNA". It matches the Rfam family "Bacterial small subunit ribosomal RNA", at positions 509 to 807 of the family's 1533-position model. The record is from RNAcentral.
CAGUAGCCGCGGGAAUACGGAGGAUCCAAGCGUUAUCCGGAAUCAUUGGGUUUAAAGGGUCCGUAGGCGGUCUUGUAAGUCAGUGGUGAAAGCCCAUCGCUCAACGGUGGAACGGCCAUUGAUACUGCAGGACUUGAAUUAUUGGGAAGUAACUAGAAUAUGUAGUGUAGCGGUGAAAUGCUUAGAGAUUACAUGGAAUACCAAUUGCGAAGGCAGGUUAAUACCAAUUGAUUGACGCUGAUGGACGAAAGCGUGGGUAGCGAACAGGAUUAGAUACCCGGGUAGUCCCUGUCUCUUAUAC